GCGUGGGCACUCCCCAGCCUCAGACCUGGUUACCUAGGAGACAGCGAGGCGCGGUCUCUCCCGGGUUUUGCUGUGCUUUCUCUUUGCUCGAGGCCGUGGCGGCUGAGGCAGCCUGGAGGUGUAGCAGCCAGUGUUUGAGCAUAAGCAUGAAAAUUUCAUUCCCUGAUGGCAGAGCAGAAAGCUAGAUGGUCUUUGAGUCUCAGAUGGCCUCAUGGAACCGUCAUACAACCAAGGACUUCCCACCUCCCAGGGUCUGCUGACCUCCAGCUCCUGGCUACCUGAUGAAGUCACUGCAGUUGGGUUUCUGUUAGAUGCAAUAUUGACUGUUUCAUCGAAGAUAGCUGAAUUCACACAUCUUCUGCAAUCUGUUGUGAUGUCACAUAUCAUAUGGUCUCUGGAAAACACUGGAGGGCAAUAAAGAUCCCGACCAUCCAGAAGUCCUUUCACUGUGACCUCCAGAACAAAGCCCCAAACCGUUCACUUUCCCCAUCUCUGUCUCUUUCCUAACUGCGGACGUUGUUUUGAUUUUGAACCAAGAUGGCCAACAUUAUGGAGCUGCUGAAAAGACAGGUGACAAUGUGAACAAAAAAAUUUAGAAGACCACCAAAGGAGCCUCAAGUAGAGCACAUGAACUAAACGAAUUUCAGGAAAGCCACAAAUGUGAUAUUUGAUCUGAAAUAUCAUCACAUUACCUGAAAGUUGAGAAUAUUCUCUCUCCAGAAUAAACUGAGAGGCAGGAGAGGACAGUGGUUAGCGACAUGGCUGCAGAGGUCAGAGGGCCUGGGUUCCUGUAAUCUCGGGCCAGCUUCUUGACUUCUCUAUGCUUCAGUUUCCUUGUCUGUGAAACGGAGGUGUUGAUAACAGAACUAUUACACAGGGUUGUUAGGAGAAGUAGUGAGUCAUAGGGAUAAGACAUUUAGAAUAGUGCUUGGGACACACGGGAAACGCUUCUCCAGGGUUAGCUAUUGAUAUUACCCUGUGGGCUACCAAAGAUGGUCCACGUUCAGCCUGGCAGAUGUGACUAUUGGUACUCCUCCUGGUCCCCAUCUUCCUUCUGCUCCUGUCUCCAACAUACCCUACCUCACUCCCGCAUGGUGUCAUUUAUCCAUUCAACACUUCUUGAGUGCCUACCCUUGAACCAGGCACUAAAUUCUUGUUUUAGUCUUCUGCAUCCCACAAGUCCCACCUUAGGCUUGCUUUUGCUGGGGAUGGGAGACCCUGUCCCUGCCAUUUCUUGUUCAUGCUCAGGGUCAUCUAGAUGUAAAGCCAGUUUCCACAUGGCCCAGAUACCUCUUGUCCUCCCUUUUGGACCUCCAGCUGCUAGCUGGGAGAGAGCGUCAUGAAUGACCCCAUGGCUCCUCCUUCUUAGACUCAAGAGGGUCAGUGGGAGGGGAGGCCCUUUGUAGCAUGAGACCCUGCUCUCUCAUGUGACUGCAUUCUCCAUGUGGCUGUGGCCUUGUGUACUCCUGGCCUGUGCCUCCUUUUUCUGGAUGUCUCUCCUGAUGUCAGGAAAGGCCCUAGAAGGGAUGAGGGGUGGGGGGCAAUAAGCCAAAGACAGCAGGGGGCAGAGCAAGUAGAAGAAAGAAGUGAGGCCAAGUGAAGCAAGAGGGCUUGAAAAGGAAGAAGGGAGGGAGGAUGCUGAUGACAUUUGACAUGAGUGAAUGCAUUGAUGCCUUAAUCUGAAUAAUAGUCCUGUGAGGUUAGUCCUAUUAUUUAUCCCCAUUUUACAGGGGAGGAGACUGAGGCAAAGAUGGGUUAUGCAACUUGCCCAAAGCCUUAUGGCUUGUAAGUGGUAGAGCUGGAAUUUGAGCUUAGAGAGUCUGACUCUACUCCCUGGAUGGAGGACGAUGCAGAAAUUCCAAAAGGGCAUCCUGAGGAGGGCUUGCACCUGACAUACAACAGGCACUCAGUGACGAGUGUUGAAUGGAUGAGAGUUCCAGGGUUUGAGGUUGAAGGUGAUGAGCUGACUCUUUACAUAAAUCCUUGGUGUCUGUUGGCACCGGCUAGUGAAGCAUCUUGUCCUCCCCACCCUGUAAUUCCUCAGCCGCCUUGAUCAGGGCCCCCAAAUCCAUCAGCCAGAGGGAGACCUGGAUUCACCAGCUGUGUGAGGAGGAAGAUGGCUGUGGUGUGGGCACAGCUUGACAUCAGUCACUUCCCACCCCUGGGACCAGAGGCAAGGAAUUUAGCUUCACUUUCCUCUGUCAGAAAAUAGGAAUAGUAGGUCUGUCCUCACAGGGUUGUUGUAAAGAUGAAAUUGCACAAGGGCAGGCCCCACACAGGGCAAGGAGGCAACAAACAGACACUCUUAUACUGCGGUUCUUAGUCACAAGCCCUGCUGCACAGAUGGCUAAUUGGGUCUUUAUGGUUGACAAAGCCCUUUCUGCUCCCAUCUCAGCCUGACUUGGAUCCUCUUAGCAGGCAGGCAGGCACUGCAGAACCUCCCUGUCUAUUUCACAGAUGAGCAAACUGAAGCCCAGGAGGUCAGAGAGGCCUUGUGGAGGUCUGUGGAGGUCUGUGGGGGGCUGUGGGGGGCUGUCAGGAAGAGAGAGUGCCCUCUGGGUCCCAGAGCCCAGUGUGCCUGCCUGCCGGCCCCUCCUCCCUCAGCUGCUGAGCCCAUCAGCACAGCAGGGAUCUGCUGGCCCAUAACUGGUCCCCGUGUCCCUUUCCAGCAGCAGACUGACCUCGUCCUUUGGAGAAAAACAGGAAGCUGGGCUCUGCCAGGAAUCAGAACACACCCUUCCUCAGCUCUGGAUGGGAGGGAGGAUGCUGCAAUGGUCGGGAGCACUGGGGACAGGGCACCAGACAGCGUGUGAGCGAGGUGCGGGCUCUGCCGGCCAAGCCAGGGUGGCCUGGACCUCACCACCUUGCUGAGGGACUUGGCUCAAUAGGCUGGGCUUGCUCUGACCUUACUUUGCUGAGCACCCCCAGGGACCAAGAGGAUGUGGGAAUAUGGGCCUUUCUCUCCCAUAUGGGGACAAAAUUGUGAGACACCAGAGCCACAUACGACUUUUGCCUUUGUGGGCUCCUUCCUCCAUAAAAGAUACUGAAAAAUAUAUGAUACAACUGAGAUAAAGAAC
Molecule: non-coding RNA, 3077 nt
Organism: Vicugna pacos (alpaca)
Lineage: Eukaryota; Metazoa; Chordata; Mammalia; Artiodactyla; Camelidae
Source: RefSeq, a predicted model, not a curated record